RNAcentral lists this ribosomal RNA (378 nucleotides) under uncultured bacterium. RNAcentral describes it as "bacterial SSU rRNA". It matches the Rfam family "Bacterial small subunit ribosomal RNA", at positions 521 to 896 of the family's 1533-position model. The record is from RNAcentral.
UAAUACGUAGGGUGCGAGCGUUGUCCGGAAUUACUGGGCGUAAAGAGUUCGUAGGCGGUUUGUCGCGUCGUUCGUGAAAACUUGGGGCUUAACUCCAAGCGUGCGGGCGAUACGGGCAGACUUGAGUACUACAGGGGAGACUGGAAUUCCUGGUGUAGCGGUGAAAUGCGCAGAUAUCAGGAGGAACACCGGUGGCGAAGGCGGGUCUCUGGGUAGUAACUGACGCUGAGGAACGAAAGCGUGGGUAGCGAACAGGAUUAGAUACCCUGGUAGUCCACGCCGUAAACGGUGGGUACUAGGUGUGGGUUCCUUUUCACGGGAUCCGUGCCGUAGCUAACGCAUUAAGUACCCCGCCUGGGGAGUACGGCCGCAAGGCUA